CAGCCAAUGGGGCAUGGAGUCACCAUGAAGAUUCUCCACUCCACUCACUGAGACUCUGCAACAAGGGCCAUUUGAUAAGCCCAGAAGGCAGUGGGUACUAGGCCUGCUUCUCCAACCAGACGAACUCCCCAGAUCAACACAUCUGGAGCCUGGAUUGAAGCAACUCCUAAGCUGGUGACUUCCCAGCCAUGGCCUGACCACAUCCCCACUCCAUGCUUAUAGCCAUCUAUGUCCUAAGGCAUCAAGUAAGGACUGGUGCUCUGUGAGAACAAGGACCGCUUCUGUCUCCUUCAUAGUUAUCACCCCAGCCUAGCACAGUACUCUGAACACAAUGAAGAACUCAAACUUUUUUAAAAGCUA
Molecule: long non-coding RNA, 360 nt
Filed under: Fukomys damarensis (Damara mole-rat)
Lineage: Eukaryota; Metazoa; Chordata; Mammalia; Rodentia; Bathyergidae
Description: lncRNA (ENSFDAG00000028253.1)
Source: RNAcentral